CUGGCUCAGGAUGAACGCUGGCGGCGUGCUUAACACAUGCAAGUCGAACGAAGCAUUCCAACUCUCGGAGGAAGAAAUGACUGAGUGGCGGACGGGUGAGUAACGCGUGGGUAACCUGCCUUAUACAGGGGGAUAACAGUUAGAAAUGACUGCUAAUACCGCAUAACCCGCUAGUACCGCAUGGUACAGACGGAAAAGAUUUAUCGGUAUAAGAUGGACCCGCGUCUGAUUAGCUAGUUGGUGAGGUAAUGGCUCACCAAGGCGACGAUCAGUAGCCGGCUUGAGAGAGUGAACGGCCACAUUGGGACUGAGACACGGCCCAAACUCCUACGGGAGGCAGCAGUGGGGAAUAUUGCACAAUGGGGGAAACCCUGAUGCAGCAACGCCGCGUGAAGGAAGAAGUAUUUCGGUAUGUAAACUUCUAUCAGCAGGAAAGAAAAUGACGGUACCUGACUAAGAAGCCCCGGCUAACUACGUGCCAGCAGCCGC
RNAcentral lists this ribosomal RNA (489 nucleotides) under uncultured bacterium. RNAcentral describes it as "bacterial SSU rRNA". It matches the Rfam family "Bacterial small subunit ribosomal RNA", at positions 19 to 518 of the family's 1533-position model. The record is from RNAcentral.